GGCUGCAACUCGCCUACAUGAAGUCGGAAUCGCUAGUAAUCGCGGAUCAGCAUGCCGCGGUGAAUGCGUUCCCGGGUCUUGUACACACCGCCCGUCACACCAUGGAAGUUGGGGCGCCCGAAGUUGCCUAAGAAAUAAGGUACCUAAGGCGAAACCAAUGACUGGGGUGGAAGUCGUAACAAGGUAGC
This 188-nucleotide ribosomal RNA is filed under the name uncultured bacterium. RNAcentral describes it as "partial 16S ribosomal RNA". It matches the Rfam family "Bacterial small subunit ribosomal RNA", at positions 1303 to 1500 of the family's 1533-position model. The record is from RNAcentral.